Schizosaccharomyces pombe (fission yeast) is the source of this 521-nucleotide non-coding RNA. The record is from the annotation of a GenBank genome assembly. Lineage: Eukaryota; Fungi; Ascomycota; Schizosaccharomycetes; Schizosaccharomycetales; Schizosaccharomycetaceae.
UUCAUAUGGUGUCAACAAUGGAGCGGGAAAUGCAUAGCCCCAAUCUAUGGAAAGCCUUGGACAAGCGACCUGAAUCCACGCGUCAAUAUCAGAGAAUUGACCCAAUCUACUAGGAAAAAUUUCUGACAUUAAAACGCAAACGAAAUCUUUAUUAUUUUUCCUUAAAGUAUUCUUUAAAUUUUCGAGUACCUUAGGAGACCCCUGUCGACCCAGUGUACCUUGAAUUAGACCGAACUUUUUAGCGGUACGAGCUUUCUCAACGGCGGAAUACCGAAUAGAUUUCAUUUCUUCAUGAGCAUAAGAUUCAAUAGAGAGCUUAUGUGAGUAAGGAUCAUAGCGGUAUGCGGGCAAAUCAGGAUUAGCAAUCAUGACAGAUUCCAAAUGGAAUCUUCCGUCACCAAUGUAAAUUAAUGCAUCUACAGAUCCUUUUUCAAUAUAGGGAGAUGUACAUCCCAACGCCUCUCCAGGAGAUAAUGGCUUUGCUUGUGGAAUAACAACGUAAAAACCUCCCUUUCCGUCUU